This 645-nucleotide ribosomal RNA is filed under the name Triticum aestivum (bread wheat). RNAcentral's name for it is "partial small subunit ribosomal RNA". The record is from RNAcentral. Lineage: Eukaryota; Viridiplantae; Streptophyta; Magnoliopsida; Poales; Poaceae.
AUGGAUCCAAGUGAGAAAUUGACUGUGCGGUUUCAUUUUGGUGGGCAAUUUAUUCGAAUUGGGCCAAAUUUGGAUUACAUUGGUGGGGAUGAGGAAAUGUCAGAGUUAGAGAGGGACAAAGUGUCCCUACCUGAGGUCAAAGGCUUUCUUGGUGAUCACAUAACUUUUAAAGAAAGUAUGAAAAUUUACUUUCUAUUGCCUGGUAAAGAACUAGUGAAUGGCUUGUUAUUUCUCUCUGAUGAUGCUGGUUGUAUGAAGAUGUCAGAAUACACUACUGAUGGUGGAGUAGCUGAGGUUUAUGUGGAAUAUUUUGGGGAGCAGGAUAAUCAAAGUGGCAGUGAAGACAGUGUUAGUAACUUUGGGGAUGAGAUAGGUAUUGAUGCUGAUGAAGAAAGUGAUACUGCACCUGACUGUAUUAUAACUGCAGAAGAUGAUCAUGUGCUUGUACCAAAUCAGAGAGGAGUGAUAACUGAAAUACUUAGUAGCCCUACAAAACGUAAGUUUAUGAAGAAACAGAGGGAUGAUACAGGGCAAUGCUCUCAAGUGAAUGUGUGUGCAGAUCUCAUAACUGGCAGCUCUCAGGUACUAGAUCCUGCAUCACAAGGUGGUACUGCUGCUGCAAUCACUAUAGCAGGAACUCAAUAG